GGCGCCCACCGUGACCCAUCAGCACUCAUCCAACACAGGAGACGACCGGUUAGCCCAAGAUGAAGACAAGGCCGAGAAAUGGCCGGGCUCCAGGCUUGUGUGACAGCCCGAGAGUGGACAGGGCGCAGCCAUGACUCCAUCUCUUCUUACAGGACCUAGAAGCUCUGAGAGCCCUGGAACCCCCAAAGGAGCUGAGCAAAAGGGGCCCUCAAACGGACCAAAGUGAUCAGCUGUGGUUCUGCAUCUGCCAGACUUUUUCAGGGUCGUCCCCUGUGGCUUUCAGACGUCUGUUGGCCUGGGCACACUUCUGGCUUUCAAUAUGCAUCUUUCUCCUUUGCAACCCAAACACGAUGUGCAAAGGGUGGCACGCGGCCUUUGAGUGAACCUGGAAGUCAACGCCAGAUAAUUAUUCAGAUGUGUUACCAGCUGUGAUACAGAAGGGAACCAUAAUGGAGAGGGAAGCCAGAUGUCCCUGUCCAGCCAUGUCACAUCCUACUGACACACUUUGUCUGUGCCAUCACAAGAGGUCUCAUUAGCAAAUUGGCGUCUACCAGUGGAACAGGGAAAUAGAGAACACAAAGAAGAGCCGGGCUUUAGUGAGGCAUUUAAUAAUAUGGUUAAAGACAAUUUGGGCCGGGCACAGUGGCUCAUGCCUGUAAUCCCAGCACUUUGGGAGGCUGAGGUGGGCAGAUCACCUGAGGUCGGGAGUUCGAGACCAGCCUGACCAACAUGGAGAAACCCCGUCUCUACUAAAAAUACAAAAUUAGCUGGGCAUGUUGGUGCAUGCCUGUAAUUCCAGCUACUCCAGAGGCCGAGGCAAGAGAAUUGCUUGAACCUGGGAGGCGAAGAUUGUGGUGAGCAGAGAUUGUGCCAUUGCACUCCAGUCUAGGCAACAAGAGCAAAACUCUGUCUCAAAAAAAAAAAAAAAAAGAAAGAAAGAAAGAAA
RNAcentral lists this small RNA (946 nucleotides) under Pongo abelii (Sumatran orangutan). Its description in RNAcentral is "processed transcript". The record is from RNAcentral. Lineage: Eukaryota; Metazoa; Chordata; Mammalia; Primates; Hominidae.